UACGUAGGGUGCAAGCGUUGUCCGGAAUUAUUGGGCGUAAAGAGCUCGUAGGCGGUUUGUCGCGUCUGCUGUGAAAACUCAGGGCUUAACUCUGAGCUUGCAGUGGGUACGGGCAGACUAGAGUGCGGUAGGGGAGACUGGAAUUCCUGGUGUAGCGGUGAAAUGCGCAGAUAUCAGGAGGAACACCGGUGGCGAAGGCGGGUCUCUGGGCCGUAACUGACGCUGAGGAGCGAAAGCAUGGGGAUCAAACAGG
RNAcentral lists this ribosomal RNA (253 nucleotides) under uncultured bacterium. RNAcentral's name for it is "partial 16S ribosomal RNA". It matches the Rfam family "Bacterial small subunit ribosomal RNA", at positions 524 to 776 of the family's 1533-position model. The record is from RNAcentral.